RNAcentral lists this long non-coding RNA (315 nucleotides) under Arachis ipaensis. RNAcentral's name for it is "long non-coding RNA (AIPA_LNC002267)". The record is from RNAcentral. Lineage: Eukaryota; Viridiplantae; Streptophyta; Magnoliopsida; Fabales; Fabaceae.
GGGGGGAUAGAUGAGACAACAAUAACAAUAACAAUAAUAAUAGUAAUCCAUAAUAACAUCUGCUAAAUAUAAAAACUAUACAAAGACCUUAGGAUAGUUUUUCUUCCCCAUAUAUCAAUGCAUAUAUAACGGCCUUGAUUUUUCCAAAAGAAAAAGCUUCCCCCCGAAAAAGAGAUUCUACUCUUCACCCCCCAUUACCUUCGGUGAUAAAAUAUUUACAGAGAAAAGCUACCAUUCUUGCUUUGCUUAAUUGCUUCCCCAAAAUAAAUCUUCACCCGUUCCUCCCCCAAUUUGAAAUAACUCCAAUUCCACCCC